AAGAGACAAUUAAUCCUCUCAGUAAAGCAGCCCAGUGCACCCAUGGAUUCCCAACUGUGACACAAGAGGAAUGACCAAGUGUCUGUUGUACAGCUGUUUUACUCUUUCACUUUCCUUCCAUGUACAUUUUCAGACAAGGGGAAAUCCACAGACACUGGCUAUGACAUACGCUUUUCCUGUUGUGUCCUGUACUUGGAGUCACAUUGAAAUUUGCAGCAAGACUUAACUUCCACCAGGAACUCCUCUGAAGCAGCUGUUAGCUAAGGGGUAGGUAUCUUGGGACUUAUCAGACACUGCCUAAGAGAUAGCAACUAGGUAGCAAAGGUCUGAUUAAAUGUUCUCUAAUGCUAUUAGGUUGUUUUAAAAAUAAUUACAGUUUUACAUGAACUGAAUCAAACCUUUCAGCUAAAUAUAAGUCAAUAUCAACUUUCUACUUGUGUGUUCUGUAAGAUACUAUUUCUUUUUAUGGUGCAGAAGGUACUAAGUAAUAUUUGCAGUGUCUUUAUACUUAUAAGUGAAAAGGUGUGAUUUCUGCAUUUAUGUUUUCUUUUACAACCUUGCUCUAACAGUAUAGUUUUAAUAUUUCUGUAAAUUACAUUUUGUGUAUGUGUUUGUGUGAUGGAUGGUAGAAUAUGAUGAAGAAUCAUGUUUAAUAAUAG
This 659-nucleotide long non-coding RNA is filed under the name Numida meleagris (helmeted guineafowl). RNAcentral describes it as "lncRNA (ENSNMEG00000021977.1)". The record is from RNAcentral. Lineage: Eukaryota; Metazoa; Chordata; Aves; Galliformes; Numididae.